UCGAUCCUGCUAUGUUCUCACCUUCUGAGAAGAAAAUGGAACAACAAGGAAAAGGGUGAGCUCAACUAGCCCAGUAAAGAAUAUUAUGACUAAGAUAAUAUACAACAAAUUAUCGUUAGUCUUCAACAGGGAAAAAUCUAAUAGAAUACAAUAGACAACAAGUUUUAGAUCAACAAAUGCAGCGGAAACAACAAUCCAUUAGAAGAGUCACGUAGAGAAAGAAUUCUACUGUCUUCUAAGGUUUAAAAGUCCAUCAUCAAUAUUUUAUCCCUGUAACAACAAUCAAUAUUCAUCUUUGCACUACAGGCCAAAGAUAUUCAUUUAAAUCACCAGUUAGUCAUGUUCAUCUCAACAACUGUUCAUCUUUGC
Molecule: long non-coding RNA, 369 nt
Filed under: Panax ginseng (ginseng)
Lineage: Eukaryota; Viridiplantae; Streptophyta; Magnoliopsida; Apiales; Araliaceae
Description: long non-coding RNA (PGIN_LNC014536)
Source: RNAcentral